UUUAGUAUAUUCAGUUAAAAGAAUUUAUAUUUUCUUUUAUUAAAUUGUUAAAUAGGUUUCAGUUACUGGUCAGUUGGUUCUAGACCAUCCUGGUCAAUUGGUUCUAGACCAUCCUGGUCAGUUGGUUCUAGACCAUUCUGGUCAAUGUGCAAUCGGCACAUGUAGAUAGGAAAAUUCGGAUGUACUAGAAUUGAUCAAAUAACUCCUGUGUAGCAAAAUUUCUGCAUCACAAAUCUCCAAACUACAGUAUUAGUUUUUAACAUUCUUUAUUUUAAACAUUACAAUAUCUAUUUAAUUUUAAGAUUUAUUACCGGGAUCAGACAAUUCUGUAUUGAGCAAAUAAAACAUUACAUGUAUUAGAUGUACAAAUUAAUACUAAAUGUACAUUAAUGUAAAUAAUACAAAAAAACAAUUUCAUUUGCUUAUUAUAAAAAAUAUAAUUUGAUAACAUGUUUUGGGUACAGAAGUCCAUUGUAAAUUUUUAGAAUACUAGUUAUAAGGAAUACAAAGUAUUUUGUAUUAUUAUGAAAAUAUUACUAAAGUUGAUUUUAUUAACUGACCAAAGUGCCUAAAAAUAGUUGUAGCAAAACUAAUUGUGAUUUAUUAGAUAAUAAGUUGUAUUUCUGAGUUUAUACAAAUAUAUUUGCAAGAAACAUAAAUACUUGAAAAUAAUA
Homalodisca vitripennis (glassy-winged sharpshooter) is the source of this 674-nucleotide long non-coding RNA. RefSeq lists it as uncharacterized. The transcript is spliced from 2 exons. The record is from RefSeq and is a predicted model, not a curated record. NCBI's taxonomy places the organism in Eukaryota, Metazoa, Arthropoda, Insecta, Hemiptera, Cicadellidae.